Molecule: ribosomal RNA, 450 nt
Filed under: uncultured bacterium
Lineage: Bacteria
Description: SSU rRNA
Rfam family: Bacterial small subunit ribosomal RNA
Source: RNAcentral
AGGAUGAACGCUGGCGGUGUGCCUAAUACAUGCAAGUCGAACGGGAUCUUCGGAUCUAGUGGCGAACGGGUGAGUAACACGUUGGUACCUACCCCGAAGUGGGGAAUAACUGCCCGAAAGGGUGGCUAAUACCGCAUAAUACCGCAAGGUUAAAGCAGUAAUGCGCUUCGGGAGGGGCCUGCGUCCCAUUAGCUAGUUGGUAGGGUAAUGGCCUACCAAGGCGACGAUGGGUAGCUGGAUCGAGAGGUUGACCAGCCACACUGGGACUGAGAUACGGCCCAGACUCCUACGGGAGGCAGCAGUAAGGAAUCUUCCACAAUGGACGAAAGUCUGAUGGAGCAACACCGCGUGCAGGAUGACGGCCUUCGGGUUGUAAACUGCUUUUAUAGUGGGAAGAUUAUGACGGUACCAUAUGAAUAAGGACCGGACUAACUACGCGCCAGCAGCCGC